GACGAACGCUGGCGGCGUGCUUAACACAUGCAAGUCGAGCGGUAAGGCCCUUUCGGGGGUACACGAGCGGCGAACGGGUGAGUAACACGUGGGUGACCUGCCCUCAGCUCUGGGAUAAGCCUGGGAAACUGGGUCUAAUACUGGAUAUGACUCCACGGUGCAUGUCGUGGGGUGGAAAGCCUUGUGCGGCUGAGGAUGGGCCCGCGGCCUAUCAGCUUGUUGGGGGGUGAUGGCCUACCAAGGCGACGACGGGUAGCCGGCCUGAGAGGGCGACCGGCCACACUGGGACCGAGACACGGCCCAGACUCCUACGGGAGGCAGCAGUGGGGAAUCUUGCGCAAUGGGCGAAAGCCUGACGCAGCGACGCCGCGUGAGGGAUGACGGCCUGGUGU
RNAcentral lists this ribosomal RNA (392 nucleotides) under uncultured bacterium. Its description in RNAcentral is "bacterial SSU rRNA". It matches the Rfam family "Bacterial small subunit ribosomal RNA", at positions 28 to 422 of the family's 1533-position model. The record is from RNAcentral.